CAGUCUCCAGCACUUGAAUGAAAGCUCCAGUUUACUGCUCAGCUGCUGUAUUGGGUGGAGUCCUGUGCGCUUAACGCUCCACUGGAACAGGAGACCUGCCACAUUACGCACGGAGAGUUCGCCAAGCACGCCUGUUCCGCGAGGAGACGGGAGGGAAGAGAACUUACAGAACAAAGCUAACGAUUUCAUGUUUUUGUUUACGAAAAGGAAGAGUUUGUUAAUCCAUCCCUUUUAUACAGAGUGGAGUUUUGGGACAUUUUUUAUAUUUUUCUCUGUAGCCUAUGAUUAUUUUAAGAUUAUUUGAAAAGACUGUGUUUGAGGAGAUUAAAAGAUUAUUCAGAGUGAGAGCAGACGCGUUCCAGGACUUUAUCUCCAAAGACUGCUCGGAAACCACUGACCCCUCAUGAGAUACCCACAAGUCACCUGGCAUUUGACCCGAUAACCAUGGACGUCCGAGUGCAGGCCAAUCCUAACCUCCAUUUCGGGGUCAACGGGGGUCAUGAUGGCGCUAAUAGAAACUCCCGCAGUAGACCAUUUUGAUGCCUAGCAACGAGAUGGCAUUCUGCUGCAGUGGCAACCUGUUACCCUAGUAAUCACAGGCACAGGGUCGUAACCUGAAACUGCAAACAAAAAUAGUUUGUUUGUCACUGAUUGACAGUGAUGGUAAUUGUCAAUGAAAGGUGUAUGGGUGC
This is a long non-coding RNA of Oncorhynchus tshawytscha (Chinook salmon), 692 nucleotides long. The record is from Ensembl. NCBI's taxonomy places the organism in Eukaryota, Metazoa, Chordata, Actinopteri, Salmoniformes, Salmonidae.